UUCAGAGUCCGAGUUGUAAUUUGCAGAGGGCGCUUUGGCAUUGGCAGCGGUCCAAGUUCUUUGGAACAGGACGUCACAGAGGGUGAGAAUCCCGUACGUGGUCGCUAGCCUUUGCCGUGUAAAGCCCCUUCGACGAGUCGAGUUGUUUGGGAAUGCAGCUCUAAAUGGGAGGUAAAUUUCUUCUAAAGCUAAAUACUGGCCAGAGACCGAUAGCGCACAAGUAGAGUGAUCGAAAGAUGAAAAGCACUUUGGAAAGAGAGUCAAAUAGCACGUGAAAUUGUUGAAAGGGAAGCGCUUGCAGCCAGACUUGCCUGUAGUUGCUUAUCUGGACUUUUGUCCAGUGCACUCUUCUGCGGGCAGGCCAGCAUCAGUUUGGGCGGUUGGAUAAAGGUCUCUGUCAUGUACCUCUCUUCGGGGAGGCCUUAUAGGGGAGACGACAUGCAACCAGCCUGGACUGAGGUCCGCGCAUUUGCUAGGAUGCUGGCGUAAUGGCUGUAAGCGGCCCGUCUUGAAACACGGACCAAGGAGUCUAACAUCUAUGCGAGUGUUUGGGUGUCAAGCCCAGACGCGUAAUGAAAGUGAACGGAGGUGGGAACCCUUUGGGUGCACCAUCGACCGAUCCUGAUGUCUUCGGAAGGAUUUGAGUAAGAGCAUGGCUGUUGGGACCCGAAAGAUGGUGAACUAUGCUUGAAUAGGGUGAAGCCAGAGGAAACUCUGGUGGAGGCUCGCAGCGGUU
RNAcentral lists this ribosomal RNA (736 nucleotides) under Phaeosphaeriopsis grevilleae. RNAcentral's name for it is "partial large subunit ribosomal RNA". It matches the Rfam family "Eukaryotic large subunit ribosomal RNA", at positions 130 to 885 of the family's 3401-position model. Lineage: Eukaryota; Fungi; Ascomycota; Dothideomycetes; Pleosporales; Phaeosphaeriaceae. The record is from RNAcentral.